This 1107-nucleotide ribosomal RNA is filed under the name Triticum aestivum (bread wheat). RNAcentral's name for it is "partial small subunit ribosomal RNA". The record is from RNAcentral. Lineage: Eukaryota; Viridiplantae; Streptophyta; Magnoliopsida; Poales; Poaceae.
GCGCCUCGGAAGGGACCAAAGACUAAAGACUGUGUGAAGAACACUUGUAAGAUGACAAAAUUCAAGGGUCUUCAGCUUCACCAUUUACCCCACGAUGUUCUGCGUAUCAUACUGUCGAGAUUGACAUUGAAAGAGGCUGUGCGGAUGAGCAUACUAUCUAGGAGGUGGAGGCGCCUCUGGAAAUGCUACCCAAAGUUAGUAUUCACCAGAGCCACGAUGCGCGGAAGCAAUGCCGUGGUAGGCUGUCGAAAACCACCCUUACGGACACGGUUUAUUAGGGGUAUCAAUAGCAUCCUCCGGCAGUUAAGGUCCACUAACCUGAACAAGUUUGUGGUUAAGUUUGCGCUUCGCAAAAGGCACACAUCUCACAUUGAUAGAUGGAUCAAAUUUUCUGCCACAUCGAAAACGAAGCAUGUUGUCAUGGAUCUGUCUCCAGGACUGAAAGGCAGUAACAAGAGAGAUGAUAUGUACAGUUUCCCACUGCAUCUUUUCAGUGGCUCCAGUGGCUCUUGUGUCAGGUCUCUCUGUCUAGGAUUUGUCUAUUUAACACCGCCUGCCGAUCUCCACGGAUUUUCAAACCUUAAGAAGCUCUCUCUGCAUAUGGUGACCAUUACAGGGAUGGUUGGGCUAAGCAUAGGGCAGGAACUAAGCCGGUUGCAAUAUCUGUGCGUGAAGAUCUGUAGCCUGCAGAAGUUGGAUAUACGUGCUCCAAACCUCACCACACUUGUCUUCGCUGAUCUGAUGGUACCUAUCAUGCUUCAUGGACCUCUGAAGAUUUCUGAGGCAACGAUCCUGUUCUCGGCCUCGGACUGUUUCAAUUACGUCUGCAAUGAUGUAGUCAAUGCCCUUUCGCACGUCCAUCCGCACAAUCAUCUCAAGACCAUCCGAAUGACGGGGUUUUACGGUUUGAAUUGCCAGCUUGAGCUGGCACACCAUCUUCUUCGGAGCACAACCUCUCUUGAGCGUAUGAUCAUAGAUCCAGUGGUGGGGAAUAACUCAUUUAUUCCAUCUCUGAAGGUAGCACAAAGAUACAUGCGUGAUGGUAGGGCGUUGGCCUUUGCUAAACUUUGGAGGAAGGGGUUGGACGGGGUCCUUACCAUUCUAUGA